Molecule: RNA transcript, 1548 nt
Organism: Dermacentor albipictus
Lineage: Eukaryota; Metazoa; Arthropoda; Arachnida; Ixodida; Ixodidae
Source: RefSeq, a predicted model, not a curated record
CACGAGCCAACGGAGCCAGCGUUCGAGACCUUCGGACACGAGGCCGGGAAAUUUGUGCCAGAAACCGAUUCGUUCGUCUCGUCGCAUGCAACCGACUCCGCGUUCCGAGUCAGCGAAGCUAAGCCCUUGCAAGUUCCAGAGCCCGCUUCUUCUUGCCCUUAGCGAACGCGGUGUCAGGAUGUCCGUCACCAUAGGGGGCCCAUUCCCGGGCUUAUACCCGGGCACGUUCGACAGGACGCACUGCUCGGAUUCGUCCAGUGUGAACCCGAAGGACCUCGGGUAUCACUCGCCGAUAGAUCGAGCUCCCGUGCAGCAACCACCACGUCCGUACUUCAUCAAGCUGCAGGAGCAGGAAUGGCCCCGGCUUACCGGAACGCCUCACGGCAGCGUCGCUUACGGCCUGAUGUCGACAGACUAUGGAGUGCCAUCGCAGCGGUACAGACAGCCGAUGAAUCGUGUUGACUCACAGGCUUACAUGUGGACCUACCACGAGCCACGACCCGAGUCGCCACAAGAGCCUGCCAUUCCACGCCACGAGGCGGAUUCAGUGAACAGCAAAUGCUACGCCAGGAUGUGCCGCCUGGCGGUCGCCGCUUUGGCUCUGGCCAAGGUUGGGGUCCCGGUAGCCGCGGUAGCCAGAAGUGUUGGUCGCAGUGUCAGGAACGACACGGCAACCGUCAAGGCCGGAAACCUGAUGCUUAAGGGCGCCAGUGCCAAAGGACUCGAAAGCAAUGUGAGGCCGCACACCACGUCUUCCCCGACCAGUACGACAUCUGCUGCUGCUGCCUUAGGAACCAGGGGCAAUUCCACGGUCACGGCGCCAAGAGAGGCGGGUCAUUACAAGUGCUGCGGAGGUACAGGCCAGUUCUGGAAGGUGGGCCCAUCGCAGUGGUCGUCGUUGUUGUCGUCGUCGUGGUCGUCGUCGUGGUCGUCGUCGUCGCUGUCGUCGUCGCAGUCGUCGUCGGUUGUCGUCGUGGCUCGCUACGACCGGCACCACGUGGCAGACGUCGGAGCCCACAGGCUGCAAGGUGCCCGGCGAACCGCUGCUACUCGACGUCGGCGGCCAGACGCCGCAGAGGCAGCGCACAGUCGCGACGACUUCCGCACGCACGCGGAUAACGGAGGACGCUGCUGCCUCUGCGGACUCGUCGACUUCGCAGGCACCGGACGCGAUGGUGGUGGCUACCAGCUCCGCGGUAGCUUCCAGCGCAGGGAAGACCGAGUGCGAAGACACGGGCAGUAACAGGCGAAAACGUGCCCCGAGCCAUUCUUGGUGACAUGGAAGCUCGCACAAUGGACGCAUUGUUGUCGGGAGCGUUUGGGCAGCUAGACCGUCCAGACAAGCUUUUUGCUCGGGCAGAGGGCUGGUGGCCACUACUGGACAGAAGGAACCAGGCUGGUCGAAAAUUAAGCCGCAUGCGUCCACCAGCCACCGAGAGGGAACGGCAUGACCACUGUCGAUGGAACCAGCAGAGCGCCCGCGCAUCAAGGACUGAUACGCUGUGUGCACGCGGGCACGCAUGCCUGCGGAACAGCAGCAUACAUGCU